Molecule: unclassified non-coding RNA, 351 nt
Filed under: soil metagenome
Description: partial contains 5.8S ribosomal RNA, internal transcribed spacer 2, and large subunit ribosomal RNA
Rfam family: 5.8S ribosomal RNA (bases 1-120)
Source: RNAcentral
GAUGAAGAACGCAGCGAAAUGCGAUAAGUAAUGUGAAUUGCAGAAUUCAGUGAAUCAUCGAAUCUUUGAACGCACAUUGCGCCCGCCAGUAUUCUGGCGGGCAUGCCUGUCUGAGCGUCAUUUCAACCCUCAGCCCCCGCUCGCGGGGCGCUGGCGUUGGGGAUCGCCCGUCCUCGCGGCGGCCGGCCCCGAAACACAGUGGCGGUCUCUCGCGGACUCCCCUGCGUAGUAGCACUACCUCGCAGAAGGGACGAGCGGGCUGACCACGCCGUAAAACCCCCCACUUCUCCAGGUUGACCUCAGAUCAGGUAGGAAUACCCGCUGAACUUAAGCAUAUCAAUAAGCGGAGGA